AACGAACGCUGGCGGCAUGCCUAAUACAUGCAAGUCGAACGAGAUCUUCGGGUCUAGUGGCGCACGGGUGCGUAACGCGUGGGAAUCUGCCCUUUGGUUCGGAAUAACAGUUGGAAACGACUGCUAAUACCGGAUGAUGACGAAAGUCCAAAGAUUUAUCGCCAGAGGAUGAGCCCGCGUAGGAUUAGCUAGUUGGUGUGGUAAAGGCGCACCAAGGCGACGAUCCUUAGCUGGUCUGAGAGGAUGAUCAGCCACACUGGGACUGAGACACGGCCCAGACUCCUACGGGAGGCAGCAGUGGGGAAUAUUGGACAAUGGGCGAAAGCCUGAUCCAGCAAUGCCGCGUGAGUGAUGAAGGCCUUAGGGUUGUAAAGCUCUUUUACCCGGGAUGAUAAUGACAGUACCGGGAGAAUAAGCUCCGGCUAACUCCGUGCCAGCAGCCGCCGCCG
This 449-nucleotide ribosomal RNA is filed under the name uncultured bacterium. Its description in RNAcentral is "partial 16S ribosomal RNA". It matches the Rfam family "Bacterial small subunit ribosomal RNA", at positions 29 to 523 of the family's 1533-position model. The record is from RNAcentral.